This 253-nucleotide ribosomal RNA is filed under the name uncultured bacterium. RNAcentral describes it as "partial 16S ribosomal RNA". It matches the Rfam family "Bacterial small subunit ribosomal RNA", at positions 524 to 776 of the family's 1533-position model. The record is from RNAcentral.
UACGUAGGGGGCGAGCGUUGUCCGGAUUUAUUGGGCGUAAAGAGCGUGUAGGCGGCCGAGCAGGUCCGUUGUGAAAACUGACGGCUCAACGUUCAGAGGUCGAUGGAAACCGUUCGGCUAGAGUCCGGAAGAGGAAGGUGGAAUUCCUGGUGUAGCGGUGAAAUGCGCAGAUAUCAGGAAGAAAACCCGUGGCGAAAGCGGCCUGCUGGGACGGUACUGACGCUGAGACGCGAAAGCGUGGGGAGCGAACAGG